GUUGUGAGAGUAUAGAGGAUUGGAUUCAAAGCACUGUUAACUGGAAGGAAAAAAAUCACUAUCCAGGAAGUCAUUGUGUCUGGAAAAGGAAGCAAAGUGUGAAAAAAAAAAGUUGAAGUUUUAAAUAGACAUAAAAUACAAAUAACACUUUGCAGUCAAUGCUAUUUAUGAGAGGGAGACAUAGUACAUUUUAAGUUUUCUCUCACCUGAAGGAAAAUCUUUGUUGGAAGAGCACAGAAGCUAUGAAUUCAAGGUCUUAACGAUUUAACUUUUCUGAGUUUCAGUAAAUAAUGUGAAGGUCAUUGUGAUAUUAACAGGAAAUAUGUGAAAACAUUUUGUAAACUAUAAAUUGCUAUAUAAUGCAUUUUUUCCUAUUUUAUCACCUUCCUUUAUAGGAAAAUAAAAAAAUAAAGAAAUAAUCUUUAGUCAAUCGAGUGAGGUUCACAAAACUUCUGGUCCAGGAGCCAGAUCUGACCUUGGUCUUAACUCCAUCCAGUUCUCAAAGCUUAUUGCCCUGCCCUGGUGUUCUGGUUAUCCUGUUAUCCUAUUAAAAGCUUUGAAGAGCAAAGAGGAAUGCAUUCCCUAAACUUGAUGAAAUUCUCUUGUGUGCAGCCCUACAAAUGCUAAUAGAAUAUUCAGGGAAAGAGGUCACAAGAAGUUCUUUGUGAGGUGAAAUUUGGAAUGAUAGUGUCCUUCCUGAGAGCAUCAUUUCAUUUGCUUGGUUAGCACAAAAUGCAUCUUUCCCUUUACACGUGGCCUAAUCCUGUGGCCGGACACUUAGCUAGACUCUGGCCUUGUCAAAAGAAGGACGUAAGAAGGCACGAUGUAUUAUACUUGGGAAUGAUAGAAGAGACUGACCUGGUAUUUCCACCCGGAAGAGGGAAAGGAUUUUAACUACAAAUACAGGAAUCCAGCAGAUGGCAUCAGAGAACACUAUAAAAAAGAAACGAUUUGCAACAGCCA
Long non-coding RNA from Pan troglodytes (chimpanzee), 963 nucleotides. RefSeq lists it as uncharacterized. The transcript has 2 exons. The record is from RefSeq and is a predicted model, not a curated record. NCBI's taxonomy places the organism in Eukaryota, Metazoa, Chordata, Mammalia, Primates, Hominidae.